UGAACGCUGGCGGUAGGCCUAACACAUGCAAGUCGAACGGCAGCACAGUAAGAGCUUGCUCUUACGGGUGGCGAGUGGCGGACGGGUGAGGAAUACAUCGGAAUCUACUUUUUCGUGGGGGUUAACGUAGGGAAACUUACGCUAAUACCGCAUACGACCUACGGGUGAAAGCAGGGGAUCUUCGGACCUUGCGCGAUUGAAUGAGCCGAUGUCGGAUUAGCUAGUUGGCGGGGUAAAGGCCCACCAAGGCGACGAUCCGUAGCUGGUCUGAGAGGAUGAUCAGUCACACUGGAACUGAGACACGGUCCAGACUCCUACGGGAGGCAGCAGUGGGGAAUAUUGGACAAUGGGCGCAAGCCUGAUCCAGCCAUACCGCGUGGGUGAAGAAGGCCUUCGGGUUGUAAAGCCCUUUUGUUGGGAAAGAAAAGCAGCAGGUUAAUACCCCGCUGUUCUGACGGUACCCAAAGAAUAAGCACCGGCUAACUUCGUG
This 490-nucleotide ribosomal RNA is filed under the name uncultured bacterium. RNAcentral describes it as "partial 16S ribosomal RNA". It matches the Rfam family "Bacterial small subunit ribosomal RNA", at positions 30 to 507 of the family's 1533-position model. The record is from RNAcentral.